Molecule: long non-coding RNA, 277 nt
Filed under: Elaeis guineensis (African oil palm)
Lineage: Eukaryota; Viridiplantae; Streptophyta; Magnoliopsida; Arecales; Arecaceae
Description: long non-coding RNA (EGUI_LNC060445)
Source: RNAcentral
GCGGGAGUUUAUCCGUCGGCAGAACUUGAGAACGUUGCGGAGGCUCGACCACCGGAGAGGUUCGGACGGAUGUUGUCGAAGGUCGGACGUCGGUAGAACCCAUGGGGGGUCACUCCUGACACGAACUUCGGCUGGGGGGGUAUUUUAUACCCAACACCAGUCCCCCUACUUUCGAGUUCAAGUUUCGAAUGAAGGAAGUAUAGAGAAAUUUUCAUAGCCGAAGUUGCCCCAUCGAAUCCAGUGCACGUCCGUCCUCGAAAAUCCUGGCAUUCAAUGC